Molecule: ribosomal RNA, 451 nt
Filed under: uncultured bacterium
Lineage: Bacteria
Description: partial 16S ribosomal RNA
Rfam family: Bacterial small subunit ribosomal RNA
Source: RNAcentral
AGCGAACGCUGGCGGCAGGCUUAACACAUGCAAGUCGAGCGGGCAUAGCAAUAUGUCAGCGGCAGACGGGUGAGUAACGCGUGGGGACGUACCUUUUGGUUCGGAACAACACAGGGAAACUUGUGCUAAUACCGGAUAAGCCCUUACGGGGAAAGAUUUAUCGCCGAAAGAUCGGCCCGCGUCUGAUUAGCUAGUUGGUGAGGUAAUGGCUCACCAAGGCGACGAUCAGUAGCUGGUCUGAGAGGAUGAGCAGCCACAUUGGGACUGAGACACGGCCCAAACUCCUACGGGAGGCAGCAGUGGGGAAUAUUGGACAAUGGGCGCAAGCCUGAUCCAGCCAUGCCGCGUGAGUGAUGAAGGCCCUAGGGUUGUAAAGCUCUUUUGUGCGGGAAGAUAAUGACGGUACCGCAAGAAUAAGCCCCGGCUAACUUCGUGCCAGCAGCCGCCGUAA